UGUAAGAGCAGCCUGGAUCGAUGUAUCUGUGUAAGAAUGUUUACAAGAGACCACUCAUAUUUUUAGUGAAAGCGUCUUGUUCUCGGUGAAUUUUUGCUAUAACUUAUUCCUGGUAAAUACUCGUAGGGGACUUGUUGUUCUUGGGAAAUUUGAGUAUGUAGCAGCUAAACCUUUUUGGGAAAUUCUUGUUUUGCUGAGUUUACUUUGGAGCUUCGAACUUGGUGGGUUAUUGAUGGAGUCCCAUGCCCUCAGUGAGUUUUGGUUUGAGGCUUCUUAACCCUGGUAAAUUUUGGUUGGAGACUCUAACUCAUGGUAAAUUUUGGUUGGAGACUCUAACUCAUGGUAAAUUUGGGUUGGAGAGACUAACUCAUGGUGAAUUUUGGUCGGAGAAUUUAACUCAUGGUGAAUUUUGGUUGGAGAAUUUAACUCAUGGUGAAUUUUGGUUGGAGACUGACUUCUGGUAGAUUGUGGUUGGAGACUGACUUCUGGUAGAUUGUGGUUGGAGACUAACUUCAGCUAGAUCUUGGUUGGAGCUUUUAACUCCUGGUAAAUUUUGGUUGGAGACUCUAACUCAUGGUAAAUUUUGGUUGGAGACUAACUCAUGGUAAAUUUUGGUUGGAGACUCUAACUCAUGGUAAAUUUUGGUUGGAGAAUUUAACUCAUGGUGAAUUUUGGUUGGAGACUGACUUCUGGUAGAUUGUGGUUGGAGACUCUAACUUCAGCUAGAUCUUGGUUGGAGCUUUUAAUUCCUGGUAAAUUUUGGUUGGAACUUUCAACUCCUGGUAGAUUUUGGUCGGAACUUCUUACUCUUAGUAAAUUUUAGUUGGAACUCCUUACUCCCAGUAAAUUUCGGUUGGAGCUUCUAACUCAUGGUAAAUUUUGGUUGGGGCUUUUAACUCCUAGUAAUGUAGGUUGGAGCCUCUAAUUCUUGGUAGAUUUUGGUUGGAGCCUCUAACUCCUGGUAAAGUUUGGUUGGAGCUUUUAACUUAUGGUACAAUUUAGUUGGAGCGUCUUACUCUUGGUAAAUUUUAGUUGGGACUUCUUAUUUUUGGUAAAUUUUGGUUGGAGCCUUCAACUCCCGGUAAAUUUUGUUUGCUGCUUUUAAUUCCCGGUAAAUUUUGGUUGGAGCUUCUAACUCCUGGUAAAUUUUGGUUGGUGCUGUUAACUUACGGUAAAUUUUGGUUGGAGCCUUUAACUACUGGUAAAUUUUGCUUGGUGCUUUUAACUCCCGGGAAAUUUUGGUGGUGGCUUCUAACUCCUAGGAAAUGUUGGAUUGGAUUGGUUAAUGAACUUUAGGCCAAAGGCUAAGCACUGGAACUUACGAGGUCAUUCAGCACUCCUAAUAGAUAUUGGUUGGAGUUACUUGCUUCUUGUAGCUUUAUGGUGGAACAUCUUAUUCCUGAGAAAUCUGCUCGAACGUUUUACUCAUAGUAGAUUUUGGUUGGAGUUACUGGCGCCUGGUGACUUAAAUUUUUUGCUAGGGGGCCGAGUACUGCAUCCCUGCAUAUAAUAGGAUGUCAAGGUUUUUAACAAUUCAGCAGUUUAUGACUUGAAAGUUUUGUUCAGUUGGCCGUGAACUUAUAUACUUAUUAAUAUAUAUUACACUACGACAAAUUUACUUAGAAUUAUAUGUAUCUGAAGAAAUAACGUGUAAAUGUGAAUGAAGGUAAAUCUUAUUCUGAAAAAGAAAAAAAAUAUCAAAAAUAGUCUUAAGAUCUGUUGACACCUCUUUGUUACUUUGAGACCCAGCUGGGUCUUGAAUAAAAUCACAACGAACGAAUUUUGUUCAGUUCCCAUUCAUUGGUAAUAAGUAAGGCCACCAGGGAAUUAAAAGCCAGUAAUUAAUUUUGGCACCUUGUGUUGGUUUUUAGUGACAGUAAAAAUAAUUCAGCAAUAAAAGUAGUGACAAUCAAAGUAAAAACAUCAGAUUUUACACCCUAGUUCAAAAGGCUAAAUGGUCAGUCAACUACAGAACCUUGGUGGUUUGAUCCAAAUAGCGAAAUUAUUCGGAAAUACUAGUUUUCAUCUGCUUUGCUUGCUUUGGAGGUGUCUGGCCUUUCUAACAUCCAGACUACCUUGACUGUUGUUGUUUGUGUGUAUGUAUUUAUCUAAACAUACACAUAUACAAAGUAUACAGUAAGCAAUAGGAAGUAAUUUAAUGAUUCACUUUUAGUCUCUCAUACAUCGAAUUCUUCGUAUCUUUCGCUUUUCGUUUGUAACGAGAAUGCGACGAAAGUUAUGACGACUUCCGUUGUUUGAUCUUUUCGAAGAAAGAGUCAAGUGAUUGUGAAAUUUUUAAAAAUCAUGUUAUGUCAGCCAUGGCCUGUGAGAUAUCAGUAAUUUGUGUGAAAUUAAACUGUGUAACACGUUCCAGUUAGUUCAAGAAAAAUGUCAAUUUGUUCGAUAGCCAAUCACUAUACUGUAGUACAAUGCCUUCGUAAUGAAGUGAUGGGGAUCCAGUCGAUAAUGUACCAGCCAAGGAAACUAUUUUCAUUCAAAGUUUUGGAAUGGUAGAGAAUUUAAUUCCAAUAAGAAAUUUGCUUUUCAUUCCCCAUCUCUCAAUUUCCAUUAACUGAAUGUCAGUAAUGUCGUCGCAAAUGGAAAGAUGAGUCAUUGUAUAUGUUAAACCUGUCCCUACAUUGUACAAACCUCUUACAUUUUACGUGUGUUAUACUGUCCGGAACGGUAUAGAGUUAGAAGACAAAUGAAUCAUGACGUGAAGAAAGAGAAAAGUUCCAAGACUUUUUCCUUACGCCACGUCGUCACAACUCACAGGCACAGCUGACAGCUGUCAUUAGCUAAUUUGGGUACCUGUGAGGUGGACGUAUAUGGGCGGUGGUUACCGGUGUUUUUCGGUGCUCUUUAUAUCUCUUCGUGUGAGCAUCAUGCCGACCAAUUCGGGAUAGUAUUGUGUUUCAAACACUGUCUGCAUAAGGGAGUUUGACGUCGAACUAUCUGUCAGUGUUAAGGAUUACAGCUGAAGGAGGUAAAUAAUCGGCCUCCAAUUUGCCAUCACUGAGUGACUUUCAAGAACUACUCCGUGAUAGCUGCUCGUCUUUAAUUGGCGCCCUACUGGACAACUGAUGGUGAAAUUUACAAGAACUACCUUAAUAAAUGCAAUCCCGGUCAAAAUUACCAUCCAUCAGAAUGUUGAAAGUAAAUUCAGAUUGCUGCAAAUUUUUCCUCUUCAGUAAAUUAAAGAUUCACAUUGAAAUACAACACUGUCAUCGUUGUUUCAAGUACUCAUCUGGAUCAACUUCUGUGAACUUAUCAGUUCCCUUCCUCUUCACUCUUAUUUUUAUGGGGCUGGGAGAAUCCUGCAGCUUGGCCUUCUCAUCCUCAGUCUUUGGUAUAUCAGUAUAGACAUACACUGUGCAGCCUGCAGUAAUGUGACCUUUUUCAUAGGCUAGAGCAAGCUGAUUAACAAGACGACGUUCAACCUGCAGAUAAGACUUCAGUUAGCAAUCAUUCAUUCUUUAGGAAAACCUAUGCUACUAUAUGUCAAUUUUGAUUGGCCUUCUCACUGGUAUACCAGCAUAUUGAAGCACACAAAGAUACACAUAAACAGGAAGGUUUAUAUGCAAGCUGGAAAAGCUCUACUUACCUGCUU
This is a long non-coding RNA of Macrobrachium nipponense, 3610 nucleotides long. RefSeq lists it as uncharacterized. NCBI's taxonomy places the organism in Eukaryota, Metazoa, Arthropoda, Malacostraca, Decapoda, Palaemonidae. The record is from RefSeq and is a predicted model, not a curated record. The transcript has 4 exons.